RNAcentral lists this ribosomal RNA (234 nucleotides) under uncultured Staphylococcus sp. RNAcentral describes it as "partial 16S ribosomal RNA". It matches the Rfam family "Bacterial small subunit ribosomal RNA", at positions 105 to 334 of the family's 1533-position model. The record is from RNAcentral. Lineage: Bacteria; Bacillati; Bacillota; Bacilli; Caryophanales; Staphylococcaceae.
GGUGAGUAACACGUGGAUAACCUACCUACAAGACUGGGAUAACUUCGGGAAACCGGAGCUAAUACCGGAUAAUAUUUUGAACCGCAUGGUUCAAAAGUGAAAGACGGUCUUGCUGUCACUUAUAGAUGGAUCCGCGCUGCAUUAGCUAGUUGGUAAGGUAACGGCUUACCAAGGCAACGAUGCAUAGCCGACCUGAGAGGGUGAUCGGCCACACUGAACUGAGACACGGUCCAG